CAAAACCCUUUUUUUCACGACUUUUUUUUGACGAUGACAGAGAAUAUACUAGUCUUGCCGGUGGAUCACUCGGCUCGUGGGUCGAUGAAGAUCGCAGCCAAAUGCGAUAGUUUGUGCGAACUGCAGAUAUUCUGAGCACUGAACCGUCGAAUGCACAUUGCGCCUUGGGAUCUACAUCCCUUGGCACGCCUGGUUCAGGGUCGUA
This 205-nucleotide ribosomal RNA is filed under the name Hemicriconemoides strictathecatus. RNAcentral's name for it is "5.8S ribosomal RNA". The stretch from base 50 to 203 matches the Rfam family "5.8S ribosomal RNA". From Rfam's summary of the family: 5.8S ribosomal RNA (5.8S rRNA) is a component of the large subunit of the eukaryotic ribosome. The record is from RNAcentral. Lineage: Eukaryota; Metazoa; Nematoda; Chromadorea; Rhabditida; Criconematidae.